GUAUUUAAAAUUGAACCUCUGCGGGUCACGCGCAUAAAGCCCCUUCCCCUGGAUAGCCAGCAGUUAUGCUGAGCUCAGGCACAACAGCUGCCGACUCACCAGCGUGCCGCACCUUAAACCGCCUGCGCUGGGUAGUCUUCGAGGACACCGGCGUGUAAAAAUGAUAACAUGCGGAGGAACCCGUACUGGCCAGACACACCGCGCCUCUCGGCGCUCACCCGCUAGACGGCCAACAUUUCCCGCGGCAGCGCCCUCAACACAUAAACGCCCCCAGGAAUUCCAGGUGAUCUGGAUCAAAGGCUCUAACAUACAUCCCAGCAGGGACUACAGCUGAAAGAAGCAAGCAUUACCCAUCCUUGAAGGACUCAUACAAGUUGUUCAGAUUUCAGACCCUGGCCUCUCCCAGUCACCACAUAAAAUUGUCAGAAAAUAUACUGGCUUACCUUCUCUCAUGCUAUGGGGAGUGGGAGAGGCAAGAUCUGCUCACAGAUGCAAACCUGGCAAACUACCUCCAUGUUUCAUUGAACUACAGUUUUUAACCCUCCUGAUUUUGAGACUGUAGUUAUUUUAUAUUUGUAAAUACAAAUAAGUACAAAUUUUUUUAAUCUUUAUUUUUGUAAGACUUUCAUGCUGCCAUUUUGUUUCAUGAUUUGAAUAGCAGGAACUAUAAUUGUGUGUUUGCAUGGCCAUAACCAUGCAGUUUAUGGUUGCUAUUUCCAUUGUUUGUCACCUGACUUUUUAUGUAAUCGCUCCCUGUCUAUAUAAAUAAGAUGGCGGCAUGCCACUCUUAUGUGGCAUUCUGUUUACCUUGAAAGUUAACUCUUGGAAUGAUGUCACGCUUGAGAUGACCACAUCCCAGUAGAACAUUCAGAAAACCAAUAUGAAUGCCUCCAGGAAAAGCUUUGUUGUGCUUGCUUUUGGAGAAUAAAUACCAGUUGAUAACAACACAUUACACAGUAUUUUGCACCUCUAAAUACAAAAGCAACAUGUUGUGGCAGAAGGGUGGAGUCCUUAUCCAGCCAGGACACCAAUGUGAUGGAAGGACCGGGAGAGCGAGUGGGCUGAGGAAAUUAUCUCCCCGGGAUGCUAGAGGGCAGCUGUGGCUCCAGGGCAUGCUGGGAGUUGGAGUUUGCUGUUGCCCUGUAGGGUUCCGUGGAUGCUGCCAGGGAGUGCUGUGGGAUCAGCAGAGCUCUGCAUGGCAGGAAUGCCGCCACACCUGGAAGUGCUGCUGGAUGAAGAGCACUAGACAUCUGGAGCACUUCCGGAUGCUCUAUAAAAGGAGCCAACUGCCAGUACUCUGGGAGCCAGAGUUGGGAGGAAGUGAGACAAAGCUUGCCAGAAGAGGAGUGAAGGUGAAGGACAUGAGAGAGAAAAUAGACCAGACGAAAGAAAAAAAGUGUGCUUUAGUGGUUAUCGGGCUUGGGACAGUGCAGGUGGGAAAUGGAGAACACAUUUCCCAUGAGCAAAAUACAUUAAAAAGUUUGUGCUAAAAGUGUGUCCUGCAUCUGUUUGUCGGGUUUGGGUUGCUGGAGUGCCCUUUGCAGGCCACAAUGUCCACAGAUAGAAGUUAGACUUCACUGUAUGUAUGGCAAUAAUGCUAAUAAACAAUAUAAUAGUACAACUGUAACUAAAGUUUAUGGUGUAUAUCCCCAUUCUGGAUUGAUGUCAUAAUCUGAAUUUGGACAAUUCUGGAUUGGACAAA
Polypterus senegalus (gray bichir) is the source of this 1702-nucleotide long non-coding RNA. RefSeq lists it as uncharacterized. The record is from RefSeq and is a predicted model, not a curated record. NCBI's taxonomy places the organism in Eukaryota, Metazoa, Chordata, Cladistia, Polypteriformes, Polypteridae. The transcript has 3 exons.